AUGACAGGACCAAUCGCCACUCAGCAAUGAGAAGCAGCUAACUGUUGACAUGCCAACAGCUUGCACAGGCCUCAAGGGUGUCACAUGGCAUGAAAGACACUCAUGUCAGGCCACACAGGAUUCCAUUCAUUGAACAUUCCUGAGACAAUGGAAUUCUGGCGAUGGAGCACAGAUAGGGUUUCUCUCUCUGCCACCCAGGCCAGAGUGCAGUUGAUGCAGGGCAGGGGAGCCCCGAAGUGGAGCAUAGUGUGUCCGGAACUGGUGGGUUCUUGGUCUCACUGACUUCAAGAAUGAAGCCGCGGACCCUCGCGGUGAGCGUCACAGUUCUUAAAGGCGGCGUGUCCAGAGUUUUUUCCUUCUGAUGCUCGGAUGUGUUCAGAGUUUCUUCCUUCUGGUGGGUUUGUGGUCUCGCUGGCUUCAGGAGUGAAGCUGCAGACCUUCAAGGUGAGUGUUACAGCUCUUAAGGUGGUGCGUCUGGAGUUGUUUGUUCCUCCCAGUGGGUUCAUAGUCUCGCUGGCUUCAGGAGUGAAGCUGCAGACCUUCGAGGUGAGUGUUACAGCUCAUAAAGGCAGUGUGGGCCCAAAGAGUGAGCAGCAGCAAGAUUUAUUGCAAAGAGCAAAAGAACAAAGCUUCCACAGUGUGGAAACGGACCCCAGUGGGUUGCCACUGCUGGCUGGGGCAGGCUGCUUUUACUCCCUUAUCUGGCCCCACCCACAUCCUGCUGAUUUGUCCAUUUUACAGAGAGCCGAUUGGUCUGUUUUACAGAGAGCUGAUUGGUCUGUUUUGACAGAGUGCUGAUUGGUGCGUUUACAAUCCCUGAGCUAGACACAAAAGUUCUCCAAGUCCCUACUAGAUUAGCUAGAUACAGAGUGUCGAUUGGUGCAUUCACAAACCCAGAGCUAGACACAGGGUGCUGAUUGGUGUGUUUACAAACCUUGAGCUAGAUACAGAGUGCCAAUUGGUGUAUUUACAAUCCCUUAGCUAGACAUAAAGGUUCUCAAAGUCCCCACCAGACUCAGGAGCCCAGCUGGCUUCGCCAAGUGGAUCCCACAGGGGGGCUGCAGGUGGAGCUGCCUGCCAGUCCUGUGCCCUGUGCUGGCACUCCUCAGCCCUUGGGUGGUCGAUGGGUCUGGGUGCCCUGGAGCAGGGGGCGGUGCUCAUCGGGGAGGCUCAGGUCGCGCAGGAGCCCACUGCGGGUUGGAGGGAGGCUCAGGCAUGGCAGGCUGCAUGUCCUGAGCCCUGCCCUGCAGGGAAGCAGCUAAGGCCCAGUGAGAAAUUGAGCAAAGCAGCUGCUGGCCCAGGUGCUAAGCCCCUCACUGCCCGGGUCCAGCGGGGCCGGCAGGCCACUCCGAGUGCGGGGCCCAGUGAGCCCAUGCCCACCUGGAACUCGCACUGGCCCGGAAGCGCCAUGCGCAGCCCCUGUUCCUGCCUGUUCCUCUCCCUCUACACCUCCCCGCAAGCUGAGGGAGCCGGCUCCAACCUCGGCCAGCCCAGGAAGGGGCUCCCACAGUGCAGCGGUGGGCUGAAGGGCUCCUCAAGUGCCACCAAAGUGGGAGCCCAGGCAGAGGAGGCGCCGAGAGUGAACUCGAGGGCUGCUAGCAUGCUGUCACCUCUCAAUAGCACGUGAGGGUUCUUGUCUUUACCCAGGAAAGAAUUCAAGGGCAAGCUGGAGGUUUAGAAGAAAACAGCUUUAUUGAAGAGGCAGCGUUACAGCCCUGUGACUGCUCCUGUAGGGCAGGGUUACCCUGGAGGCAGAGAGUAGCGGCAGAGAGUCUGCAAUCACAUUUAUACUCACUUUUAAUUGCAUGCAGAUUAAAGGGCAGUUUAUGCAGGAAUUUCUAGAAAAUGGGUAGUAACUUUUGAGUCAUUGGGUCAUUGCCAUGGAAAGGGGCAGUAACUCCCUGGUGUUGCCUUGGCAAUAGUAAACUCACAUGGCACACUGGUGGGCAUGUCUGAUGGAAAGCUGCUUCUGCCCCAGCCCUGUUUUAGCUAGUCCUCAAUUAGGUCUGGUGUCCAAGCCCUGCCUGUGGAGUCAAGUCCUGCCUCCUAUCUCACAGUGGCGUGAUCAUGGCUCACUGCAGACUCAACACCCCCGGGCUCAAGCAGUUCUCCCACCUCAGCCUCCUGAGUUGCUAGGACCACAGACACAUGCCACUAUGCCCAGCUACAUUUUUUGCAUUUUUUGUAGAGAUGGUGUUUCACCAUGUUGCCUAGGCUUGUCUCAAACUCCUAGGCUCAAGCAAUAUACCUACCUUAGCCUUCUAAAGUGCUGGGAUUACAGGUGUGAGUCACUGCACCUAGCCCAACCUUACAUUUUUAAUCUCAAGUCACUUCUCUCUAGGUUUUGAUUUCUUCUUUAAAAUGGCGGAACGAAGAGCAUCUAUUUUAUAGGGUUGUUGGGAAGACAAAAAUGAAAGAACUGCUAUUCAAUGUUUAGUGAAGCGCUGUGCAUAAUUUUGAAUAAUGAAGUUGGUGUUUAUUUUUUAUUAUUUGUUCAUUUAUUUUUUAGAGACGGGGUCUUGCUCUGUUGCUCAAGCUGGAGUGCAGUAGUGCAAUCACAGCUUAGUGCAGCCUUGACCUCCUGGGCUCAAGAAAUCCUGCCACCUCAGCCUCUUGAGUAGCUGGGACUACAGGCAUGCCUCGCCAUGUCUGGCUAUUUAUUUACUUGUUUGUUUUUUGUAGAGAUGGCGUCUCCCUAUGUUGCCCGGGCUGGUCUUGAACUCCUGGCCUUAAGCAAUGCUCCUGUCUUGGCCUCCCAAAACACUGAGAUUACAGGUGUGAACCACCAUGGCCAGCCUUAUUUUUAUUUUUAAAUCAGCCUUGUCAAGUUGAAUUGGUCAUUAAUCUUGUAUAAUGGUAAUUUGGGGCAGCAUUGGUUGGGCGGGGGUUGGGGAACAUUUAGGACCCUGUGGGCUACAACUCGUAGUGUGUGCACUUAUUUUAUUUUAUUUUGUUUUGUUAUAUUAUAUUAUAUUAUAUUAUAUUAUAUUAUAUUAUAUAUAUUUUUUGAGACAGGGGUCUCACUCUGUUGCCCAGACUGGAGUGCAGUAGCAUGAUCUUGGCUCACUGCAACCUCUGCCUCCCAGCUUCAAGCGAUUCUCCUGCCUCAGCCUCCAGAGUAGCUGUAACUACAGAUGUGCGCCACCACGCCCGGCUAAUUUUUGUAUUUUUAGUAGAGCUCGGGUUUCACCAUGUUGGCCAGGCUGGUCUCAAACUCCUGACCUCAGGUGAUACACCUGCCUCAGCCUCCCAAAGUGCUGGGAUUUUAGGCGUGAGCCACCGUGCCUGGCUGUGCACUUAUGUUUGAUUUUUGCAGAACCACCCUUCCCUAAUGGUUGUCUCCUAGAUCCAAGGUGACUUUAUUCAUUUUAGAAUGAACUUACCCCAUUGAUACUGUAACCAGAGUUGGCAUACAUCACGAUUGGCAGAACCCGGUCAUGUUUAGCGAGAUGGAAGUGUUCUGGAAACUCCUCCUUCUUGUAGACGUGGAGGUGAGGGUACGCAUUUUUCAGUGCCUGGUAAAGGGUUUCCUCUUGCCCCAAUUUGGGCAGGGGCAUCCCAAAGCCACCGUAGCCCACAAUAUCAAACUUGACCAAGUUCCUGAACUUGAUGUAGUUGGACAAGGGAUCUUGUUGACAUUGGGUCUCUUCUUCACGGUGGUCACCCCAUGGUCUCAUGUGAUGAUGACGCUGAGGUGCUCUGCAGGCUGUGCUUCUCAAUGGCUCCCACCAGAUACCCGAUGGCCCUGUCGAGUUGCUGAAUCAUCAACUUCCUGUUCUCUGCCUCUGGCCCGAAUCGAUGUCCCACGUUAUCUGGCUCUCUGUAGCACAGAGUCACAAAGUCAAAGUCUUCCUUGGUGUACCAGUUCAUGACGGUAUCGAUGUUCUCCCUCCGCUCUGUCUCGCUGCUGUUUGGGUGACUGUAGGACUCCACCAGGGACGGCUUGACAGCCUCACCCUCGUAUUUAGCACCUCCCCUGGAAUAGUGGAAUGAUGCCGCUUUGUUCCCCUGCAAGUACAAGAAGAAAAUUCCAUCAGGGCCAUUUCUCAUACCUUUCUCACAAUCAGCAAAGCUCGAGUUGUCUACAUCUGUGCCCCAGUCCAAAGGCAUAGAAAAUAUGUGGUCUUUGAAGUCAGACAGGGUGGAGUUAGAUUCUGGGCUUCCCCAGGAUCUCAUAGCAUCUACAACACUGUUAGUUACAAGAUGUGCUAUUAUUUUAUGGGCUACUAAGCAGAAAAAUGCUGCCAGUGAGACCGUGACAUUCCAGUGAUUGUAAGGUGUAUUCCAACUUCAGAGAUGGCAAAAUGAAAAAUAAUUCCUUAGAAUAGAGGGAGACAGUAAUUUCUGAGUUGGUGGUGGUGAAUUUGUGCAUGUGUGUUUUUUAUAUAUAUACACACACAUAUAUACACAUAUACAUGUAUAUAUGUGUAUAUAUAUACAGACAUAUAUAUAUAUAUAUAUAUAUAUAUGUAUAUAUAGUGGUGCAGUGGUACAAUCAUAGCUCAUUGCACCCUUGAACUCCUGGGCUUAAGUGAUCCUGCCAUCUCAGCCUCUUGAGUAGCUGGGGCCACAGGCAUGUGCCACCAUACCUUUUUUUUUUUUUUUGAGACACGGUCUCACUCUGUCACCUAGGUUGGAGUGCCAUGGCACAAUCUCAGCUCACUGCAACCUCUGACUCCUGGGUUCAAGCAAUUCUCGUGCCUCAGCCUCCCAAGUAGCUGGGAUUAUAGACAUGUGCCACUAUGCCCAGCUAAGUUUUGUAUUUUUAGUUGAGAUAGAGUCUUGUCGUGUUGGCCAGGCUGGUUUCGAAUCCCUGGGCUGAAGUGAUCCACUUGCCUUGGCCUCCCAAAGUGCUGGGAUUACAUGUGUGAGCCACCGUGCCUAGCUCUAAUUUUUUUAAAAAAAUAUUUGUAGGCAUGAGGUCUCACUAAUUUGCCCAGUCUGGUCCUGAACUCCUGGGUUCAAGUAAUUCUCCUGCCUCAGCCUCUCAAAGUGCUGGGAUUACAGGCAUGAGACACCGUGCCUGGCUGGUGGUGAGUUUUAAAAUCUCCCAGUGUCUCAGUGUUUCUACCUGUAGAAUGCCAAAGAGUAGAUGGCAUCUUUGUGAGGAUUAAGCAGGCUAGCUUUUUAUUUUUUUAUUUUUACUUUUAUUUUUGAGACAGAAUUUCUCUCUUGUCACCCAGGCUGGAGUGCAAUGUCGUGAUGUUGGCUCACUGCAACCUCCGCCUCCUGGAUUCAAGUGGUUCUCCUGCCUCAGCCUCCCAAGUAGCUGGGAUUACAAAGCCAGUUAGCUUUAAGAUACAGUGUUGGGCAUCACAUUUUGGCACGGAGCAGGCACUCUUUUCUUUGCCUCCAGGUGGGACUAAGCCACCACAAGCCUUCCCUGGUGUGUGCAGUGGGUGAUGAAUGCUUGCCUGCUCAGCACCCACUUCCUGGUGGGCUUGGUCACAUUACUCUGACUCCCCCUUGAGCUUCAGUCCGUGCCUGGUUCAAGAUGUAUUGACUCAACCCGAGGAUCCAGAGGUGGGAUGUAGCUCUGGCCUGGCCAGAGGACCGAGGAUGCUGCAUGCCAUGACUACAGCAACUGGUUCAGCUUUGGGCUCAUGUCCUAGUCAGAGCCAAUGAGAUGUAAUCUUGGGAUAUCUGCUGGGCUGUUGGGAAGGGGACAGGCUGCCCUGCUCAUCCCCAUUCCUGAUGCUGAGGGAUCUGAGAAAAUCACUUGUAAAAUUUGGGGGUGUUUGGAAGAAGGGGAGACUGAUGUCUCUUUCUCUCUACAGACAUCUGAUCAGCUACAGAGCUUGAGUAACCUACCCAGAGGCAGAAUGAUAUGGUGGUUAAAAGUGUGCUCUGGGCCGAGAUUUUGCCACUGUACUCCAGCCUGGGUGACAGAGUGAGACUCCAUCUCAAAAAAAAAAAAAAAAAAAAAGGGUGCUUUGGGCUGAGUGCGGAGGCUUAUGACUGUAAUCCCAGCACUUUGGGAGGCUGAGGCAGGAGGAUCGCUUGAAGUCAGGAGUUUGGGAUCAGACCCCAUAUCUAGAAAAAUGUUUUUUAAAAAUUAGCUGUGUUGGUGUGAAUGCCUCUAGUCCCAGCUACUCUGGAGGCUGAGGCGGGAAGAUUGCUGGAGCUUGGGAGUUCAAGGCUGCAGUGAGCUAUGAUCAGGCCACUGCACUCCAGUUUGAGGGACAGAGAGAGACCCCAUCUCUCUGAACAACAAAAAUGUGUGCUCUGGUGCCGCACUGCCUGGUUAGAUCCUUUGUCCACCACUUAGAUGCAUGUUAUAUAAAUGCUCUCCUCAGUUUCCUCAUCUGUAACUUGGGGAUGGUAAUGCUGCCCCAAGAAGUGGUUAUGGGGACUAAAUGCAUGUGGGCAUAUUGGUAAGUAUUCAACAAGCUUGAUUUUUCCUGGAGAGGGAGAAAGAGCUUGCAGUGGGGUGGCAUGGUCAGGGGCAUUGGGACAAGGAUUAUUUCCUCUGGCUUCUGCCUCCUAGGAGGUACUAAGGAGGGAUCUGAAAUGUGUCUGCAGGCCCCAGAGUUGGGGACUGCAGAGGGAAAUUGAGAUCAGGGACCCUAGUCUGGCAGAAAUGAGUGCAGUAUGGGGCAUUGGGUUCCUUUCAUCAGAGGCAUGGGGUGUGUUGCAGACAGUCAUGAAAUGUGGCUGAAUCUUGCAAGGGACCCUCGGUCCUAGGGUUGCUGCUUGAGACAAAGACCCCUGUCAGUGGAACCUGGUGACCUUCACCCUUCUGUGUCAGGCUGCAGACAGCAAGAGAUGGCAGCAGAUUACACCCAACAGGAAAAGGGCCAUUGCCAUCCCACAGGUUGCCAUAGGAGGAGAUGACAUCUCUCCCUCUCCUCCUCCAGCAGUGUCAGCUGGGAAGAGGUGGGUGGGUUUGCACAAAAGAGUAGACCACAGACCAUGCUCCUUCUCCUCCAGUCUGCUGGGGCCCCAAGAGAGUCUGCAGCCCUUGGCCAGGGACCGGCUGACACAGGAGAACAAAAGACCUUAGGCUGGGAUAAUAUGGUAGUGCAGUUCAUCCUCUGGAGCUCCCUGUGAGAUCAGACUGGAGCUGGUGUCCAGCUGAGACCAUAUCUCACUCAGCUCCUUCCCUGCCAUAUCCUGUUUUCCUUGCUCCUAUCUCCUGAGAGUUCUUCCUGAAUGAAUUACAUGCACUCAAUCCCUGCCUCAGGCUCUGCUUUUAGGGAACUUGACCUAAGACAGAAAUCUUAGUACUAAAUACUUUGCAAGGCCUCAGAAGCUCUGCUAUCCACAAGCAAGUGAGAUAUUACCUUCCCUACCACCUGGCAGUCAUAGUCUUUGAUGCGAAUCAGCUUUAUGGAAGUGCUUCUCUAAAGAACUUCCCCAAAUUUAAGAUGAUCUUAAUUUGCUUACUUGUUUAUUGUCCAUUUAGCUGCUCUAAAAUGUGAGCUCCAAAUCAGGGGCCAUGUCUGGUUGGUUACCCAUUUCCUGGGACCUAGAACAGGCCUAGCUCAGAGCAGGUGCUCACUAUUGAUGGAAUGCAUGUUCAAAGAAUGCAUGAAUCUCCUUUUGUGGGUGAAAAACUCAUCCUAUUCUCAUCCUGACUAACUUUCUUUCUUUCUUUCUUUUUUUUCAAAUUGGAGUCGUGAUCUGUUACCCAGGCUGGGGUGCAAUGGUGUGAUCUCAGCUAGCUGCAACCUCUGCCUUCUGGAUUAAAGCAAUUCUCCUGCCUCAGCCUCUUAUGUAGCUGGUAUUACAGGUGUAUACCACCACGCCCGGCUAAUUUUUUGUAUUUUUAAUAGAGACAGGGUUUCACCAUGUUGGCCAGGCUGGUCUCGAACUCCUGACCUCGUGAUCCACCCGCUUUGGCCUCCCAGAGUCCUGGGAUUACAGGCAUGAGCCACCGUACCCAGCCACUCUUGAUUAACUUAAUGGAAAUAUUUACAGAGAUUCUUUCUCUUCUGGGUUCUAGUGUCUUAUCUGUAACCUCUGCAGGUAAUACAUUUUCCUUCCUGAUGAUAGCAUUUCUAUGGUUGCUUUCACUUGCAAAUCCUCUAAUACUUAUUUAUUCCAUUUCUGAUUGGCAUUAGACAUAAUUCUCAAUUUUUAGUGACAGCACUUCGUUUAACUUACAUGUAAAUCGACUUUGCCUUGAAAUGUGACAUUGACUAGAAGGAUGAAACUUCUAACAUGCUGUAGAACAUAGUUUGACUGGCUAAUUUAUUAUUUAGAAGAAACUAAUAUUGCCAUUAUGAGAGACUUAGGUGGCUCUGAAGAACCAGUUGUAUUUCUAAUGUUUGCAAUGUUAAAUCACAGAUAUUGCCAACGUGAAAUAGUUUCCAUAUGCUGUGUUCUCAAUACACAACUUUUCCAAAGAUAUCCCAAGCUGUAGUCUUAGGAAACUGUGAUUUUUCUUAUUUGGUCUCAUGGGAAUUUGGGGAGCUAUGUGGGAUCUCCAUAAAAUGAGCUCUAGAAAGACACAUGUGUGUACAUGCACACACACACACACACACUCACACAUGUACCACACCACACUUGACUCUGUUUAUUUGGGACCCAUGAUUAUCAAAAGUGCUAUUUUCAACAAAUACUUCUGAGAAAUAAUCUGAAGACUUAAUUGGAUGCAAAAGAGUGGCUAUUUACUAUUCUACCCUUUAGUUAGCAUAAUCAGUGUUUCCAGCAGCAAAAGCAAUUGGAAAAUUGCUAGUUUUAUUAGGUUCAUUAUUAUCCCUUAGCGUAGUGUGACAUCAGCAUGGCUAUUAUUCUUAAAUUGCCUCCUUAAAACAAGAGCUGGUACUUCUUACAGGCAAUUCCUAACUCUUGGGUUUUGUAGAGGGUCCAAAACUCUUUAGAACCUAUAAUUCAAGGAAAGGCUUCACUUUGGUUUUACAUUUUGUCUGGUCUCUUUGGCUGACAGAAUUUAUCUCACAAGGUGCACAUGUUUGGGGGAGGCUCAUGGACAGUCCAUUGCACUUGUGCUUUGGUAGGAAGUACGUGCCGCUAAGGGGAAGGAGUUAGUUACUGAUUCUAGGGAACAACUGGGUAGAAAGAGAUGGACUCCCUGUGUUUGAAAUUCAGAACUCAAGCUUGGCUCUAAGUGUUUCCUUGCUUUGCUGUGCUCCAGGGGAGACACUGAGCAGAAGGAAGCGAGUUGCCUGAGAUUCCUCAAAGCCCGCAGCCCUUUUGGAGGUUACAUUGUUAUUCUCAGAGCCUUUAUGAUGCAUAAUAAAGACCCAGCUUGGACCAAUAUUAGGAUAAGUUAUCUUGCUAUUAACAUUCUUUUAGGUAGAAGUUGCUGGUCCCAUCUUGCUCACAAUCCUCCAAAGUUUGAAAGUGAUUUUCCAGAAGACUUGGCUUGCACUGAGAGCUGCCCUCCCACCCUCUCUCCAAAUUUCCUCUUGGGGGUAGCCUAACAAGGUGCUGUCACAGACCCUUGCCAGCCACGAUGACCCCACCCAGACCAUCCCUCUGUUGUUUCACUCUUUGAUACUCUCUGGAGCUCUCUGGGGAGGGGUGAGACCUGCCGUCUGGUUUAUAUGCUUUGCCCAGGUCUUACAGUCAUGGCUGGCUGCCUCUCUCUGAGAACUGGGACUCCUGAACUUGGUGAAAUACCUCAGCCAUCGAUCAUGUUGAAUUAUCGGGGACACUCAUUUAAAAUCCGAGCCUGUUCCAGAUAGACUCUCUCUCUUUCUGUCCUGACCGUGAGAGAAGCCCUGCUGGACGGUGGAGACACUCGUGGGCUGUAAGCAAGGGAUGCAAAGGCUGCCGGGAAUCCCAUCUUUCCAGCAUCAUCUGCCAAGGCACAUCAGUUCCUGGGUGUCUUGAUGGAUUCUGGCAGCAUUACUGUCAUUGAAGGAAAACAUUUUAGCCAUAUUAAAGGUGAAUGCAGCAAUCUCCACACAGGCUGCCUGGAAGGGAUGCAGGACAAGGGUAGGUUUUCCUUGUGAUGGACAGGAGGCAGGCGGCCCUCCCACAGCCCUGCCUGGCAAUGCAGAUAUGUCCCCAUAAGGCACUGGGGGCCAGCUGGAGUGCUGUACCGAGGCGGGCUGACCCGGGCCGUGGGUUCGCUCUGAUUGCAGCGGUUUCCCGCCAGCUCCUUGGAGAGCUGGCAGAUGACCCAGCCCCACAGCAGGAGCCGCGAAUGGCAGAACGAGAUACAACAAUUUGAUAUCCACUUGCCAGACGAGCCUGGCUCUGUGCCCAACCUCUUUUUGCAUAAACACUUAUGAAUUCAGCCAAGAGGAAAAGCACUCUGAUUAAGAAUUGAGCAGAAGGAAACAAAGUUCUGCAGAUAAACACCAAUGAGACAAAAAACCACGAAUAAGAAAAAUGGCAGAAAAGGAGAACCUUCCCAGAAGCCUCCUGCCAGUGAACGGCCACCAGAGUGAGAGCAUGGAGAGGCCCUGGGUUUUGAACUGUGAGAUAAGGAAGAUGAUGAAAACCUCCCUAGCAGCCAGGCAAGCACAAGAUUCCUGUGAAAUCCAGGUCUAAGUGUUUUGACCACAGAAGUAAUAUUAUGUCAUAGGUGAGAGCUGUGAGUUGCUGAACCCAAAGUGAGUUCAAAUCCGAGUUCUGCCUCCUGAAACCUGUGUGACUUUGAGAAGUUCCAGCACCACUUUGUGCCUCAGUUUUCUCAUCUGUUAAACGGGCAUAACCACAGCUCCUGCCUCAGAGUUGUAAAUUAAUACAUGUAAAGCACUGAAAUCAGCCUGGUAUACAGUAAGUGUUAUGAACGUUAUUUUCUUGGAAGGACAGAACUUAUUUUCAUGGUCUAAGCCUGAAAAUCUAAAAAAUGUGAGAGAAGAGGAAAGAAUCUAGAGUGUCACCAUGAGGGGGAAAAGUCAACUUGAAGCAGGACAGGGUCAUUGACUAUUUCCUGUGAUUCUACAGCUGCCUUGUACACUAUGGUAGCUCCUAGCCACUUGUUGUUUAGAUUUCGUGAUUUAGAAAUGAAUUAAGGCCAGGCGUGGUGGCUCAUGCCUGUAAUCCCAGCACUUUGGGAGGCCAAGGUGGGCAGAUCACCUGAGGUCAGGAGUUCAAGAUCAGCCUGGCCAACAUGGUGAAAUCCUGUCUCUACAAAAAUACAAAAAUUAGCCGGGCAUGAAGGCACGUUCCUGUAAUCCCAGGUACUCAGGAGGCUGAGGAAGGAGAAUUGCUUGAACCUGGGAGAUGGAGGUUGCAGUGAGAUGAGAUUGUGCCACUGCACUCCAGCCUGGGGAAUAGAGUGAGACUCUGUCUCAAAAAAAAAAAAAAAAAGUUAAAAUAAGAGAAAAUUGAAAAUUCAGCUCUUCAUUCUCACCAGCCACAUUUCAAGGGCUCAACGGCCCAUGUGGGUGGCUAGCAGCUCCCAUGUUGGACAGUGCAGAGUAGAGCAAGUCCACCAUUGCAGAAUGUUUGAUUGGACCGUGACUGAAUAGUCUAUUGCAGUGGUCCCCAAUUUUUUUUUAGCACCAGUGAGCAGUUUCCAUGGAUUUUUGGGGGGGAAGUUUUGGGAUGAUUCAAGUGCAUUACAUUUAUUGUGUACUUUAUUUCUAUUGUUAUGAACAUUAUAAUAUAUAAUGAAAUCAUUAUACAACUCACCAUAAUGUAGAAUCAGUGGGAGCCCUGAGCUUGUCUUCCUGCAACUAGAUAAUCCCAUCUCAGGGUGGUGGGAGACAGUGACAGAUCAUCAGGCAUUAGGUUCUCAUAAGGAGCACACAACCUAGAUCCCUUCCCCAUGCAGUUCACAAUAGGGUUGGUGCUCCUAUGAGAAUCUAAUGCCACUGCUGAUCUGACAGGAGACAGAGCUCAGCCAGGGGGAUCAGCUGUAAAUACAGAUGAAGCUUCACUCGCUAGCCUGCUGCUCACCUCCUUCUGUGCAACCCAGUUCCUAACAGGCCACAGACCACUACUGGUCCAUGGUCUGGGGGCUGGGGACCUCUGGUCUAUUGGAUAACACUGGCUUGGAGCAUACUGAUCAGCCAAAGAAGCACUGAGAUGAUUUGGCCUCCAUUAGUAAGAAUGAUGGACUUUUUGGCUUUUUUUGAGACAGAGUUUCACUCUUGUUGCCCAGGCUGGAGUGCAGUGGCACCAUCUCGGCUCACUGCAACCUCUGCCUCCCAGGUUCAAGUGAUUCUCAUGCCUCAGCCUCCCAAGUAGCUGGAAUUACAGGUGCCUGCUACCAUGCCUGGCUAAUUUUUGUAUUUUUAGUAGAAUCGGGGUUUUGCCAUGUUAAGCAGGCUGGUCUUGAAUUCCUGACCUCAAGUGAUCCGCCUGCCUUGGUCUCCCGAAGUGCUGGGAUUACAGGCGUGAGACACUGCACCUGGCCAGAUGGACUUUUUUUGAGCAUUUAGUUCCAAGCACCUUCCCUGCACUUUCUCAGUUAAUCCUCCCAGUGACUCUUUGAAGCAGGGACUAUGACAAUCUUCAUUUCCCAGAUGGAGCAACUCAGGCACAGAGGGCAAGUCAUUGGCCACGGUCGCCCAGCUGAGGAAGGAUGGAGCCGGCUGAGAUCGUGUUCUGGGGAUCUAACUCUGCAGCCUGCAUUCUGGGCUGUUGUGUUCUCCCAUGUUGCUAUCUGAUGAGCACAGCAUGGGCUCAGAGUACAGAGAGGAGGAACCAGGUAAUAAGGAUAGGUCUGGGAGAAGGCUGGUGCCUUGGGGAGGAAGAGAGAGGCCCCAUUCUAAAGGGAUGCCAUUGGAAGCUCAUAGUGAUAAAGCAAAGCCAACAGGUUUUGGGGCUGGGAGUUAAACACACAGCUCUGGUUUCUGCCUUUUCACAGUGGUGAUGAAUGGGCACUGAGACCCUCUCAAGCUAAAGUUGUCAUCACUGAUCUUCAUAGUCUGAAGGUGCAUGAAAUGGUCAACUUUCUUCCAAAGGGCUUUUAUGCCUAAGUCUGUGGUUAGUGUAUAAACAGAUACUUACUGAAGUCCUGCUGGGUGCAGACACUGUGGCCAGCCCUGAGGCUACAUUCGAGAUGAAGCCAGUCUCUGUCCUCAUGGAGACCUGUCUAUUGAUAAGAAAAGAGAAAGCUCACUGAGCAUUGACCCUGUGCCCACUGCUUUUGAUGCAUCUCUCAUUUAAUCCUUCUAUCAAAUCUGUGAAAUAAACACAUCACCAUCAUCCCUAUUUCACAUUUAGGGAAACAUAUGCUUAGAGAGCGUAAGUAACUUGGUCAAGGUCGCACAGCUUCGAACUCUCAUCCCACAGGCGCAGGAAUGAGAGGCAGCAGCCGGGGAAGCCAGGGUCUCUGGAAGUCCUUGUCUCUGGGCGGUGAUCCAGAGAGAGAGAGAACACGAUUGUCUCAGCAAUGGGUCUUCUUCUGCAUCUUGAAGGAGCACUUCCAGAGCCUCUCGGUGUUAAACAUCAUGUUGUGAAUGACUCCGUGAGCUCUGACCCAGUGACCUUGGGGAUAAAGGAGGGGAGUACGGAUAAGCUCUUUGAAUGGAUGUUGCCGGGUUGUCAGUGUUCUUUGAGGGCACAGACUAUGUGUCACCAAAGAAAGAGCCCAGUGCCUUUUCUCAUUGCUCAAGAGAUUGAAGGGGUAGGAAGAAAAGAUGUUAAGUUAUAAACGCAUUUCCGUUUUGGUACCAGUUGAAGCAAUUUACGUUUUGAAGAGGAAAGAGUCUUGCCUACAAAGUCAGCCCCUGGGUUUUCAUUCUGCUUAUGGAAUCCAGGCAAUGGGCAAAGAGAAAAAGAAAACUAAGGAAUCAGCCAGGUGCAGUGGCUCAUGCUUGUAAUCUUGGCACUUUGGGAAGCUGAGGCCGGUGGACUUCUUGAGUCCAGGAGUUCAAACCAGCCUGGCCAACAUAGUGAGACCCCGUUUCUACAAAAAACACAAAAAGUUGCUGAGCAUGGUGGCAUGCACCUGUAGUCCCAGUUACUUGGGAGGCUGAGGUGGGAGAACUACUUCAUCCAAGGAGGUUGAGGCUGCAGUGAGCCAUGAUCGUGCCACUAUACUCCAGCUGGGUGGCAGAGUGAGGCCCUGUCUCAAAAGAAAACAAAAAGGAUAAGAAAAAGAAAACUAGGGAAUCUAGACAAUAAGUUUAUAUAUAUAAUAAAGAACUGAGAUAGAACUGGGUCGACUGAGUAAUUAUUUGAAUUGCUUUUGACUGAAUUUUUCUUAUUGGAGUCUACCAUUGUUUUUGUGUGUGUGUGUGGUUUUUUUUUUUUUUUUUUUUUGGUUUAGUUUUGUCUUUGUGUUUUUUUGAGACUGGGCCUUGUUCUGUUGCCUAGGCUGCUGGAGUGCGGUGGCGCGAUCUCAGCUCUCUGCAACCUCUGCCUCCUGGGUUCCAGCAAUUCUUCUGCGUCAGCCUCCCCAGUAGCUGGGACUACUGGGCAUGUACCACCAAGCCCAGCUAAUUUUUGUGUUUUUAGUAGAGAUGGGGUUUCACCAUGUUGGCCAGGCCUGGUCUUGAACUGCUGGGCUCAAGUGAUCCACCUGCUUUGGCCUCCCAAAGUGCUGGGAUUACAGAUGUGAGUCCCUGCGCCCAGCUAGAGUCUACCUUUCUUUGAAUUCACUGCAGUGCAAAGACUGGGACAUGUGGAACUCCAGGUGUGUAUGGGUUACAUAGAGAUGCUAGGGGCUGAUUAAGGAAGGAAAGAUAUGAGAAGCCUGCAGAGCAUGCGUUCCCAGACUGUAUGGGCCCUGGGAAAGGAGAAGUGGACAGAAAGGGAACACUGGAUGCCCUGGAAGAGAAGAUUCAUCCAAGUCAUCAGGGAAGUUACUAAUGCAAGGGAAGAAAUGCAGAGACAGGGCCAAACACGCUUCUUCCAAGUCCUUUCUGUCCGCUCAGUCACCUCUAUGCUUAUUUUUCUUCUUUCCUGUAAGUAGUGUCAUGCGUUUUCUUCCCAUUCCUAGUCACUCCUAGUCAACUAACUCCCCUCUACCAUCUUUUCAUCGGAACUUGAAAUCUCUUCUCCUUCAUGUAUUAGUGAUCAUGUUUCUCCAUAAUACUGCUAGAACCAAGAAUUGAAACCUGGAAAACCUGCAUUUGAGUACCAGAUCUGCCUCUACUAGCUAUUUGAGAAGCUAUUUUGUUCCAUUCUUUUUGUUGUUGUUGAAACAGGGUGUCAUUCUGUCGCCCAGGCUGGAGUGCAGUGGUUCAAUCUUGGCUCACUGCAGCCUCAACCUCCUGGGCUCAAGCAGUCCUUCCACAUCAGCCUCCUGAGUAGCUGGGACUACAGGUGUGUGCCACCACAUCUGGCUAAUUUUUAAUGUUUAUUUUUUUUUUUGGUUUACUUAUUUGUUUUUGUAGAGAUGCGGUCUUGCUAUGUUGAGCAGGCUGGUCUCAAACUUGUGGGCUCAAGUGAACCUCCUGCCUUGGCCUCUCAGAUAAAAUGGGAAAAGUUCCCUUGUCCCCCUCGAAGGGCAUGUGAUGGGGGUGUGGUUCAUUUCAUCAGUGCCCCACUGCUCAAACCUCUAGGGGAGCAUACAGACAGGCAGGGAGCCCCGUGGCAGUGUCUAGGGGUGAAUGUUUAUAGUUGAAGCCCCAGUGGGCGUGUGUUACAGGGUGCUCUUUUAGUUUAGCCGUCCGUAAGUAGCUUGUGUUAGUCAGCUCAAUUAGACCCCCGCCCUAUUGCAAAGACAGAGGGCUCUCUUUGUCCCGGGGUUCUUGCCUUGGUGUACCGGAAGUGGUGUGAUCUCAGCUCACAGCAAGCUCCGCCUCCAGGGUUCACGCCAUUCUCCUGCUUAGCCUCCCGAGUGGCUGGGACUACAGGUGCCCGCCACCACACCCAGCUAAUUUGUUUGUAUUUUUAGUAGAGAUGGGGUUUCACCGUGUUAGCCAGGAUGGUCUCAAUCUCCUGACCUCGUGAUCUGCCCGCCUUGGCCUCCCAAAGUGCUGGGAUUACAGGCGUGAGAGUGCAAGGUUUUAUUGAGUGGAAGUAGCUCUCAGCAGAUGGGGAGCCAGAAGGAAGAUGGUUUUCCCCUGGAGUCAGGCGAGUGGCCCGACUCUUCUCUGACUGUCCCACCCAAACUCUGCUUGUUGUGCCAGUCAGUGGCCUGCGGUGUGCCUGUGUCCAUUGGUGCGUUCCUCUUGACCUGCAGCACCCAUGUGUUCCUCCACUGAUGUGCUCCUCUCGAAGUCCAGCUGCCUGUGUGUCUGCCUGCUAGGGUCUCAGGGUUUUUAUAGGCACAGAAUGGGGGUGUGGCAGCCAGGGUUGUCUUGGGAAAUGCAACAUUUGGGCAGGAAAACAAAAACCCCUGUCCUCACCUAGGUCCGUGAUCACAGGCCCUGGGGUGGAGCACUAGCCAGCGACCACACCCUCCUGUACCCUGUGCUUCCCUUCCUUACUUCCAUAUCAUUUAAAGGGACCACAUUCUUCCCUUCCGAGCACUUCCCUUCUGUAUCACAAAGUGCUGGGAUUAUAGGCAUGAGCCACUGGUCCCAGCCAAUUCCGUUCUUUUAAUGCAAACUAGAAAAUAGGUGUUCAGAAAGGCCUGCCCUAUCCACCUCAGGGAGUUGCUAUGAAGAUCAAAUUAGAUCAUGUGCAACAGAAGUUUAGAAAAGAUUCCAAAAGCACUGCACAAUAGGAAUGUAUUUUUAAACGCCACUGAGUGGACUUAAAACUAUGUUUUUUUACUUUCUUUUUUUUGGUUGAGACAGAGUUUCACUCUUGUUGCCUAGGCUGGAGUGCAAUGAUGCCAUCUUGGCUCACUGCAACCUCCGCCUCCCAGGUUCAAGUAAUUCUCUGCCUCAGCCUCCCGAGUAGCUGGGAUUACAGGCGCCCACCACCAUGCCUGGUUAAUUGCUUUCUUUCUUUUCUUUUUUGUCUUUUUAGUAGAGAUGGGGCUUCACAGUGUUGGCCAGGCUGGUCUCGAACUCCUGACUUUAGGUGAUCCACCCACCUUGGCCUCCCAGAGUGCUGGGAUUAAGGCUUGAGCCACCGCACCCAACCUGUGUUUCUUUUUUAAGCAAGAAAACAAAUGCCUCUCCCCAGCACUCACUAAACCAAUCCUUCUUUUUUUUUUUCCAUAGGAUUCUUAUCCUUCUUGCCCCAGUGCAGUCUAUUUUCUUUUGGCCCUUCUGUCCAUCUGUGAAAGGGUCAGUCUUUCUAGCUAACCCUUAAUCAAAUAUUUUUGAUGACCACAGUCAAGACAGUACUUAUUAUUUUUUUUGAGAUGGAGUUUCACUCUUGUUGCCCAGGCUGGAGUGCAAUGGCGCAAUCUCAGCUCACUGCAACCUCUGCCUCCAGGGUUCAAGUGAUUCUCUUGCCUCAGCCUUCCAAGUAGCUGGGAUUACAGGUGUGCAACACCACGCCCAGCUAAUUUUUCUAUUUUUAGUAGAGAUGGGGUCUCUCCAUGUUGGUCAGGCUGAUCUCGAGCUCCUGACCUCAGGUGAUCUACCUACCUCAGCCUCCCAAAGUGCUGGGAUUACAGGGGUGAGCCACCCUGCCUGGCCAAGACAGUGCUUAUUAAUGCCUGAAAUGCAUUCAGGAGUACAUGAGCUGGCUGUGGCUGUUCUAAGUUCCCCAAAUGGGUGGCUCAGGACAACAGAAAGUCAUUCUCUCCAGUUCUGGAAGCUUGAUGUCUGAAACGGGCAGGGCCGUGCUCCCUCUGAAGGCUCUAGGGAUGAAUGCUUCCUUGCCUCUUCUGGCUUCUGGUGGUUGCUGGCAAUCCUUGGCUUGUGGCCACAUCAUUCCAUUCUCUUCCUUCAUUCUCAUGUAGCCUUCUCUCCUGUGUGUCUCUGUCUCUUCUUCUCUUCCCAUGAGGAUGCCAUUAUUACUCCAUUUAAGGUCCAUGCUAUUCCAAUAUGACUUCUUUGUAAUUAGAUCUGCAGUGACCCUAAUUUCUUUUCUUUUUUUGAGAUGGAGUCUUGCUCUGUUGCCCAGGCUGGAGUUCAGUUGCACAAUCUCAGCUUGCUGCAACUCUGCCUCCUGGUUCAAGUGAUUCUUCAGCCUCAGCCUCCGAAGUAGCUAGGAUUACAGGUGCAUGCCACCAUGCCUAGCUAAUUUUUGUGUUUUUAGUAGAGACAGGGUUUUGCCAUGCUAACCAGGCUGGUCUCGAACUCCUGACCUCAAGUGAUCCUUCUGCCUCAGCCUCCCAAAGUGCUAAGAUUACAGGCAUGAGCCACCAUGCCCCGCCCCUAUUUUCUAAUAAGGUCACAUUUUGGGAUUCCUGGUGAAUGUGAAUUUUUGGAGGACAGUAUUCAGUCUAGCAAAAGGCAGGGCAUCCUCAUUUUCUUCCCUACUUCAGAAAUAUGGAAGUUAACUUCAACCCCUCGGAGAGAGAGAGAGGCUUCCUGAGCUUCCAACAAUCAAUUAUCCAAAUAUUAGUCACAGAAGAGCACUAAGGGUUGUGCACAGCACGUGGCCAGCCCGUUCUCAGAGUCUGUUAAGUUUAAGGUGAACGCUAAUCCUGAAUGAGUUUUAAAAUGUAUUUGGAAUUUCCUCAUCAUUGUAAAAUGUUCUCACAUCGUGAUGGCUGGGGCUUCCCUCUCAGGUGUAAUCUGCGAAGUCAGAUGUGACACAGCCUGGGUGAGGUGGGCCAAGCUGGGAACUGGGUUAGGAGGGAAGCUGGGGAAUGAGCGCCAAGGUCUCAGAUCCCAAACUGGCUUUAGCCUGAUUCACCCAGAGGGACCUGGUAAAAAAUACACAUUCCAGGGCCCACCCCAGACCUAAUGAAUCAGAAUUACCUGGGAAGGAGCCUGGGGAGCUCUGUUUUCGGAAGCAGCCCAGCAGAAUCCUACCGUCAGACGGGGCUAGGAAACGGAGCUCAGUCUAGGGCAGUAGUUCCCAAACUCGUCUGUGCUUCAAAAGAUACAGAUGCUGAUGGCCAGGCAAGGUGGCUCACGCCUGUGAUCCCAGCAAUUUGGGAGGCUGAGGCGGGAGGAUCACUAAAGCCCAGGAGUUUGAGACCAGCCUGGAGAACAUAGGGAGAUACUGUCUCUAUAAAAAAUUAAAAAAUUAGCCAGGCAUAGUGGUGCCCGCCUGUGAUCCCAGCUACCCUGGAGGUUGAAGUGGGAGGGUUGCUUGAGCCCAGGAGUUGGAGGCUGUAGUGAGCUAUGAUUGUGCCACUGCACUCCAGCCUGGGUAAGAGAGUGAGGCUCUGUCUCAAAAACCAAAGAAAACAAAAAACAAAAAACAGAUGCUAUGUCCCAUUCCAGAGGUUGAGGUUUAAUUAUUCUGGGGUGGGGUGUGGCCUGGGUUUUGGAACACUUAAAAAAUCCCAGGUGAUCCUAAAGUGUAGAUGAGUUUGGAAACCACACACUUAAGGCACACUUGAAUGGGGGAGCAGUGAGGUGGUGUGGGCUAGCCGGCCAGAACCCAGGGGUGGGGCGGUAGGAACCAGCAUUGCAGAGGCCAUGAAGGCUGGGAAGCAUAGUGUCUGGGGCCCAUAACAAUGCUUGGACAUGAAUGCUUUAGACCUAAGACAAUUGGCUCCUAAAUGUGAAAACUGCAAGGCUGAAAUGAAUGCAUGUUUAAUGCUUUGCAACAUUGUCAAGUGAUCAGCUGCAGCUCCGUUCUGAGGGCAUGAUGCCUGAGAGAUGCCUGUCAUGGGGGUUGAUUUUAAUGAAUUUAAUAUGGUGUGGAGUGGGGCCUUCAAAAGUAAAAACGUCAGUUCUAAGUUGGUUGCGGGGGUCUGGGCAAAGGCCUUAAAACCCCGUGUUAAACACCCCGAUUUUAAAACAGGGCCUUUUUCCCAAGAGACUUUUUGAAAAUAGCUCCUAUUUUGAGGGGAGGAACCCUGGCGGGAGAGAGCCAGAGUUAAGCCCAGCUGAGAGGGGGUUAGCAGGUAGGGGUCUGCCUGGUCCUCACUGAAACUUGCUACUCAGGGUGAGCUUCCUAAACCAAUGCAGAUUUGCUGGCCCACUGAGCCUCCCAGCUGAGAACCUGCAUUUCGACAAGGUCCUCAGUGCAGCAAAGUUUGAGAUAUACUGGGCUAGAACACCCAGGGGACCUAAAGGUUCCUUGAAAACUAAGGAAAAUAGGCAGGGUGUGGUGGCUCAUGCCUGUAAUCCUUGUAUUUUGGGAGGCCAAGGUGGGUGGAUCACUUGAGGUCAGGAGUUCGAGACCAGUCUGUACAAACAUGGUGAAACACCAUCUCUACAAAAGAUAUAAAAAUUAGCCAGGUGCAGUGGCAGGUACCUGUAGUCCCAGCUACAUGGGGAGCUGAGACAGGAGAAUCGAUUGAACCUGGGAGGCGGAAGUUGCAGUGGCCCGAGAUCGCACCACUGCACUCCAGUCUGGUGACAGAGUGAGACUCCAUCUAAAAAAAUAAAAAAUGAAAAAAUAAAUAUAAAUACUGGGCUAGAAGACCCAGGAGACCCGAAGAUUCUCUCAAAACUAAGGAAAAUAAUCUAGAUCACAAAUAUAUUCUCUUUCUCCUUCUCCCCAUUGCCCCCCUCCAUCAGUAAUCUUUAUAGACUCAAAUAGAGUUGAUGUUCUAUAAUCAAUUCUAGUCACUUUUAUUUGUAUUUAUUUAUUUUAGAAAUGGGGUCUCACUAUGUUGCUCAGGCUGGUCUCAAAUUCCUGAGCUCAAGUGAUCCACCUACCUCGGUCUCCCAAAGCGCUGGGAUUAAAGGCAUCAGCUACUGCACCUGGCUGUCACUUUUAUUUUUGAUGUUCAAAUUAUAAGCUAAUGUCUGUGAGACCAUAGAUUCUUUUUAUGCACUCAAUACAUUUUUGUGCUUACCUUACAUUUUUAUUAUGGAAAAGAUUCUGUUUCUUCCGCUUGUUUCUAUUUGAUAAUGAAGCCCCCUGUGCCUAUCACCAGCCUCAGCCGCCAUCAUCUCAUUACCAAGCUGGGUUAUUUGGAAGCAAAUAUCUUCAAUAUUUAGCCGGUGUUCAAAUUUCCCCAACCAUCCUAAAUGAGUGUUUAGAAUAGUUGUUUCAUUGGAAACAAGGUCAAAACAAGUACAUUUUACAUUUUUAGGCCAGUCUUGAAAGUAAGUGUAAAACCAUGUGUGAGGUAGGAGGUGGGACUAGCCUCUCAAGGCGGGGCCUGGAUACCAGACCCAAUUGAGGACUAGCUAAGACAGAUUCCACAAUGAAUAACACCAGGAGGUGGGAAUAUUAAGGUCCAUUGCAAAGGCUGGCUACCACAAUUAUUUGAUCAACUAGUUAUCAACCGUGACUGCAGCUGAGAGAGAUUUGUUUUCUUUUUUUUUUUUUUUUAGAGACAGGGUCUUGCUAUGUUGCCCAGGCUGGACUCAAACUCCUGAGCUCAAGUGAUUCUUCUGCCUCAGUCUCCCGAGUAGCUGAGACUACAGGUGUGUGCCACUUUGCCCGGCAAGUUAUUAAAAAAUAAGUAUGCCUGGACACCACUCUAAACCAACUAAAUCAGAAUCAGAUAUAGCGAAGUCAUUAAUCAUUUUGCUCCUGGGUUUUUAUGACAGUUUUGCUCCUGGGAAACUUCUGGGAAUGUGGUAGAGAGAGAGAAAGAGAUGGGAAAAUAAGAUUUUAAGAAGUGUUGCUAUGCAUUUUGAAAAUAAUUUUUCUUUGGUGUUUGUCUUGAGGGACGGCGGUAAACAUUUCAAUUGCCUUUAAGUAUGCUUGCAUGCUGGAAUGAUGGUUCUUUGAAUGCAGCAUCGAACUGGGAUUGGGCCACAUGGCAGCCAGCAUGAGCCUUUAUGCCACAUUUACAAAACAUGAAUGUCAUGAGCCCACUCUUAGGGACCUUACAAUUUGGAGGGUUAGGUCAGAUCCACAAAUCUCCUCUAUCUCAUGGUAAAGGAAACCUGGCGUGUAGCAGGAGAUGGUGUGAUAACAAUAUCAUAUUGCAUGAUCAAUAUUUAUAUUCUUCUUAGCAAUAUUAAACUUUUGGACCCCCUCCAUUGUGUCAUCAAUCUGCUUAAUACAGUUUCUGCUUCAGCGUCUGUUUUUAAGCCUGGCAUAAGCUAUUUGAAACCCAGGCACGUACCCUGCCCAUCAUCUUUGGCCUAGUUAACACCUCCCCUCCCUGCAUGGUGGUUUGGAGAACCUGCUUGUUCCUCAUCCCACUGAUCCCAAAACCAGGACACCCUACAGCUGCUGACCAUGAUUAAACCUAACAGAGAUUUAAUGCCUUUCUUCUGAUUCUCAGGGACUGACAUUCAUUCACUUAAAUACUUGCAGAGUCAGCCAGGCGUGGUGGCUCAUACCUGUAAUCCCAGCACUUUGGGAGGCCGAGGUGGGUGGAUCACGAGGUCAAGAGUUCGAGACCAGCCUGGCCAACAUGGUGAAACCCCCAUCUCUACUAAAAAUACAAAAAUUAACUGGCGUAGCAGUGUGUGCCUGUAAUCCCAGCUACUCAGGAGGGUGAGGCAGGGGAUUUGCUUGAACCUAGGAGGUGGAGGUUGCAGUGAGCCAAGAUUAUGCCAUUGCACUCCAGCCUGGGCAGCAGAGCAAGACUCUCUCUCAAAAAACAAAAAACCCAAAAACUUGCAGAGUGAAUUUAGGAAACCAUGAAGUCCAGAGUUUGAUCCAAUCCCUUCCUUUUUCUCUUUCUCAAAUAUUUUGAGCCAGGUACUAUUCUAGAUUGUCUUGUGAUAUUUACAAUCUAGGAGAAGGCAGGAGAGAGAACUAAGAACAGAGAGCUUGUUCUGAGAUGUCUGCUGUGUUUGCAGAUAUCCAGUAACUGACUGAUCAGCUGGUGGUGGGCUCUGCUGGCUGCCAUGAUGGACCACGAGCAAAAAGGGAAAAUUGGUUGUCAGUGAGAGAAGCAGAGAUAAGAAAGUCCACAGGGCUGAUAAGAAAGACCAUGGGCUGCUGGGCGCGGUGGCUGACACCUGUAAUCCCAGCACUUUGGGAGGCCAAGACGGGCGGAUCACGAGGUCAGGAGAUCGAGACCAUCCUGGCUCACACGAUACGGAUGGUGACUGAUGCUCUAUUAAAUGCUGAAAAAAUGCAGAGUGGAAGCACAGAAAAGCGGGUUUCUCUGAGGAGGUGACGUUGGAGCCCAGUUGGAAGGCAGGAGUAAAUGUGCACCAUGAUUUUUUAGAAUUAAAACCAAGUAUCUCACUGCUUGGGCACACGUAGAUAGAGGUGAUUUAACCGUAAACUGUCCCUGUUGUACCCAUUGUCAGUUACCUCACCACAGGGAUUAUGUAGCCCUGAGUUUGCUUUGUGCUUAUUUAUUUUAGGUUGUUGUUUAUCCAAACCUCUUAAAUGAUAUGCGUUUGGAACAAGUGACAGCAUCGUUCAUUGAUGUUGUGGACAAACAACUAUUUUAUUACUCAAGACUGGGUAAUUUAUAAAGAAAAAGAGGUUUAAUGGACUCACAGUUCCAUGUGGCUGAAGAAGCCUCAAAAUCAUGGUGGAAGGCAAAAGGCACAUCUUACAUGGUGGCAGACAAGAGUGAUGGGAGCUAUUUUGGUCAUUGUUCACUGGCCAUAGAAUAUACUUCUAUAUUUUGAACUAAGACAAGAGCCAGGCACACAAGACGGUUACAGGUCUGUCUUUUGUUUUUGAUGAUGAUGAUGAUGAUGAUGAUGAUGAAGAUGAUGAAAUGGCUGACAUGGUUCAUGACUUGCUUUUUCUCAUCAUCUCAGACCUAGAUUUUUGGCUGGACUAUUGGCUUGGGAUAGAUGAAAAUCAUUCCUUGUAUCCCCUGAUCUUAAAGUCAAGACUGAACCAGUCUCCAGACGCAAGCUUUCAUGGGGCUUCAGAUACCAUGAGGAACGGGCAUCCCUGCAAUAUUGUCAUGGCUGUCAAAAGUGUUAUUGGAGCUGGGCAAGUGGGCGCUCUCCUGCCAUUCCAUCCUGCUUAGAUUUCCCAUUCAACAUCAAUCUUAUUUCCUUUUUUUUUUUUUUUUUGACAGAGUCUCACUCUGUCUCCUAGGCUGGAGUGCAGUGGAGGGAUUUCAGCUCACUACAUUUCGGCUCACACUCCCAGGUUUAAGUGAUUCUUGUGCCUCAGCCUCCCAAGUAGCUGGGAUUGUGGGUGCACAACAUCAAGCCUGGCUCAUUUUUUUUUUUGUUGUAUUUUUAGUAGAGACAGGGUUUCGCCAUGUUGGCCAGGCUGGCCUUGAACUCCUGACCUCAAGUGAUCCACCUACCUUGGCCUCCCAAAGUGCUAGGAUUACAGGUGUGAGUCACCGUACCUGGCCCCAUUUCCUCUUAUACCAUAAGUCAUUGCCUGCAAAUGUGUUUUCUCCAUUAGUUUGCAAAAGCUUCCUGAGAGUAGGUCUGUGCCUCAUUUAUUCUGGAAUCUUCCUGGCACAAAGCACAGGGCUUUAUCCUCAGUAGGCAUUCAACAAAUGUUUAAUUUCAUUCAACAGCUCCUCUUACCACUGCCCCCACCUUAUUUGCAGGUGGCUAAGUACAAUCAGAACAAGUAGGAAUCAUAAGAUUUAGUCCAGAGUCAAUUUGGGAAGAAAUUACUUCAGUGAUAUGAGAAGAAACCAAGCUAUUUAGUCAGAAUACUUCUGAGAGUAUCCCUUGUCCAAGCAUUUGCUGAAUUUCGAUCUACUAAUUUUCAGGUGGAAGAGUAUGGUUGCAGACAGUCCAUUUGGACAUAGAUACACUUUCAUGCAUUCAUGUCUUUAACAAUAAUUUGUGGCCCUACUGUGUUUGUUCGCUAACUCCUUCGAACCUACCAUAUAAGCUAUAUCUUUAUUUUCCUUGUAAUUUGGGAGGUCCAAUGCUUCAUUAAGCUCACAUGCCUGAAACUAAUGAAUAAAAUAGCUCGCUAACCAGCUAGUAUAAAAGUAGCCACCAAAACAAGUCAAUCACCUGCCUUAAAUCAGCCCAGUACUCCCAUCUUGAGCAGAGAAGCCCAUUCUGAAUCACAGUCAAGACACUGAUGGAAAAACAGCUCUCUCUGGGUAUCAAAACCAUGCUCACCACAAAUCCUCCUCCCCAGAGUUCUACUCAUUGCUCACCCACUGAACCCAGAACAAACCAGAAGUGCUUGAAAUGAGGACGGGUAGCUCCGUGUACCAAUCGGAAUUUAAAACUGUAUCAA
Molecule: long non-coding RNA, 24837 nt
Organism: Pan troglodytes (chimpanzee)
Lineage: Eukaryota; Metazoa; Chordata; Mammalia; Primates; Hominidae
Exons: 4
Source: RefSeq, a predicted model, not a curated record